Molecule: long non-coding RNA, 330 nt
Filed under: Elaeis guineensis (African oil palm)
Lineage: Eukaryota; Viridiplantae; Streptophyta; Magnoliopsida; Arecales; Arecaceae
Description: long non-coding RNA (EGUI_LNC035902)
Source: RNAcentral
ACCAUUCACAAGUAAGUGCAAGACCGUUAUUGGAUCCCUCACCUAACAAUUAUUGGGUCCAACUCUAUCCUUACCCAAGAGCAACUCUUUGCUAAUAGAGUGGUUGCGUAUUCCUGGUGCAACUAAACUACUAUGACCAGCUGAGAACAAUCAACACCAGUAGCAUGCCUGCACAUUUACAAUGGUGGAAGACCUAUGGACUUAAUAUUUAUGGAGAGAUUUAGGUUUAGGUCUCAUCUAAUCAGUUAUCAUAUGAUCAAUCUAAUUGGCAUAGGCUAAACCAAACCGUCAAGUAACCUUAUCAAGACUCAAUCUUCUAAAUUAGCCAGG